Molecule: long non-coding RNA, 260 nt
Filed under: Vulpes vulpes (red fox)
Lineage: Eukaryota; Metazoa; Chordata; Mammalia; Carnivora; Canidae
Description: lncRNA (ENSVVUG00000017172.1)
Source: RNAcentral
UGACAGUCUCCUUCAGGAAGCUGUUUGAGGAUUAAUGGAGAGAGGCUUGGGAUCCAGGAGUCUGGGACAUGCUGCUCGUAUCAGCUCCUCUGAAGUCUGUGCGGUCCCGGGAGACUUCACUUCCCUUCCCGGUUCCCGGCAGCACGUUGCCUUUAUUCGGAGUUAACUACUAGACCUAAUUAAACAGCAUCAUCUCCUCAGAGUGGCUGAUUUUCUUCCCUUCUGAAUACAAAUUAAACUUCCAUGCCGUUAACAUUCAG